UAUAAGUUAUUAUAUAUAUAUUUUUCCUUUUUUUUUUUCACUAAUAACAGAAAUAAAUGCACAACUAGAGAAAGCAAAGACAGACUGUGAAAAACUUAAAACAGACAACGAAGAGAAAGAAAAAACUUUGCAAAAAUUAACGAUUGAUUUGUAAUUCUUCAAAAAUCGAAAAACAAAUAAAUUAACAAUCGAAAAUUAUGUCAUUAAAAUAAUAUUAACAUUUUGUUUUUUUAUUUUUUCCUUUUUUUCAGAGAUAAUAAAACUCAUUCCUACAAUUUAUUACAAAAAGAACAAAAUAUGAAUAACUUGAACACCGAAUUAAGCAAUGUAAAUCAAACAGAAGAAUUAAUCAGACUUCAAAAAGAAAAUGAAAAUUUGAGAAAUAGAAUAGAAUCUGAUACAAAUAAAGAAUCAAACAGGGUGAAAGAAGUUAGUCUAAUAACCUUAUUAUGCAUUCAAGUUGUAUACAAAUGCACACAUAUGUAUAUAUGUAUAGUACACCUAAGUUAGUGGAAAAAUUUAUUUUACACUUUUUCUACGUCACCGCAUUUUACCUUUUUUUUUGUUUUAGCUUGAAAAAGAACUCGAGGAUUUGAAAAUAAUAAAUAUCAAUUUAAAGAAUGGAGUAUUAAAAGA
Molecule: long non-coding RNA, 636 nt
Filed under: Piliocolobus tephrosceles (Ugandan red Colobus)
Lineage: Eukaryota; Metazoa; Chordata; Mammalia; Primates; Cercopithecidae
Description: lncRNA (ENSPTEG00000006866.1)
Source: RNAcentral